GUAUUUUGAAUUGUUUUAUUCAUAAUAUUUUUCAGACAAAGAGUUGAGAUAUAGGUUGAUAUUUGUGAAGGGAAAGAGUUGCCUCUCUCCCAACAAACAUUGCACACAAGGUGGAUAUGGAUUUUUAAAGAGUGCCAUAAAACACUCAUUGUGAAUGAUCCUUCCGCAGGUUCACCUACGGAAA
RNAcentral lists this unclassified non-coding RNA (184 nucleotides) under uncultured fungus. Its description in RNAcentral is "sequence contains ITS1, 5.8S rRNA gene". The record is from RNAcentral. Lineage: Eukaryota; Fungi.